Molecule: ribosomal RNA, 460 nt
Filed under: uncultured bacterium
Lineage: Bacteria
Description: partial 16S ribosomal RNA
Rfam family: Bacterial small subunit ribosomal RNA
Source: RNAcentral
CCUACGGGUGGCAGCAGUGGGGAAUAUUGGUCAAUGGACGAGAGUCUGAACCAGCCAAGUAGCGUGAAGGAUGACUGCCCUAUGGGUUGUAAACUUCUUUUAUAUGGGAAUAAAAUGUUCCACGUGUGGGAUUUUGUAUGUACCAUAUGAAUAAGGAUCGGCUAACUCCGUGCCAGCAGCCGCGGUAAUACGGAGGAUCCGAGCGUUAUCCGGAUUUAUUGGGUUUAAAGGGAGCGUAGGUGGAUUGUUAAGUCAGUUGUGAAAGUUUGCGGCUCAACCGUAAAAUUGCAGUUGAAACUGGCAGUCUUGAGUACAGUAGAGGUGGGCGGAAUUCGUGGUGUAGCGGUGAAAUGCUUAGAUAUCACGAAGAACUCCGAUUGCGAAGGCAGUUCACUGGACUGCAACUGACACUGAGGCUCGAAAGUGUGGGUAUCAAACAGGAUUAGAUACCCUAGUAGUC